CCUACGGGGGGCAGCAGUGAGGAAUAUUGGUCAAUGGGCGCAAGCCUGAACCAGCCAAGUCGCGUGAGGGAAGACGGCCCUACGGGUUGUAAACCUCUUUUGCCGGGGAGCAAGCCUGAGCACGUGUGCCCAGGCGGAGAGUACCCGGAGAAAAAGCAUCGGCUAACUCCGUGCCAGCAGCCGCGGUGAUACGUAGGGGGCAAGCGUUAUCCGGAUUUACGGGGUGUAAAGGGAGCGCAGGCGGCGUGGCAAGUCAGAUGUGAAAACCCGGGGCCCAACCCCGGGAGUGCAUUU
This 294-nucleotide ribosomal RNA is filed under the name uncultured bacterium. RNAcentral's name for it is "partial 16S ribosomal RNA". It matches the Rfam family "Bacterial small subunit ribosomal RNA", at positions 338 to 628 of the family's 1533-position model. The record is from RNAcentral.